AGGGCACCACCAGGAGUGGAGCCUGCGGCUUAAUUUGACUCAACACGGGGAAACUCACCCGGCCCGGACACCGUAAGGAUUGACAGAUUGAUAGCUUUUUCAUGAUUCGGUGGAUGGUGGUGCAUGGCCGUUCUUAGUUCGUGGAGCGAUUUGUCUGGUUUAUUCCGAUAACGAGCGGGACUCUAGCCUACUAAAUAGUUCGCACAUUGUCUCUGUGUGUGUGACUUCUUGGAGGGAUUUUCGGUGUUCAGCCGCACGAAAUUGAGCAAUAACAGGUCUGUGAUGCCCUUAGAUGUCCGGGGCUGCACGCGCGCUACACUGGCAAAAUCAGCGUGCUUGUCCUUCCCCGAAAGGGGUUGGUAAACCCUUGAAAAUUUGCCGUGAUUGGGAUUGGAAAUUGCAAUUAUUUUCCAUGAACGAGGAAUUCCAAGUAAGUGCGAGUCAUCAGCUCGCGUUGAUUACGUCCCUGCCCUUUGUACACACCGCCCGUCGCUGCCCGGGACUGAGCCAUUUCGAGAA
RNAcentral lists this ribosomal RNA (519 nucleotides) under uncultured eukaryote. RNAcentral describes it as "SSU rRNA". It matches the Rfam family "Eukaryotic small subunit ribosomal RNA", at positions 1161 to 1705 of the family's 1831-position model. The record is from RNAcentral.